Pseudoliparis swirei is the source of this 3601-nucleotide RNA transcript. It is a transcript of the gene named kelch domain containing 2, with no coding region annotated. The record is from RefSeq and is a predicted model, not a curated record. The transcript has 15 exons. NCBI's taxonomy places the organism in Eukaryota, Metazoa, Chordata, Actinopteri, Perciformes, Liparidae.
UUCCGGUCGUGCCCCCUGAACGCUUGUGAUGACCUCACACAGAUGGAGUAGGAUACUGCUUUUCAAAUGUGCAUGAAAAACAAACAUUCGACAACACAAGGAGAGACUGACAUGGCGGGGAUAGAGGAAGAUGUGUUCGAUCUGCCAGCCGGGGAGGAUGACAAUGACUCGGACAGAGAUGAAGAUGAGAGACUGUUUGCUUGGAUGGUCAAUGACGAUAUGGAUGAGGAGGAGGAAGAGCAGGAGGAAGAAGAGGUCGAGGAUGAAGAGCUCUUGGACUUCGAAUCAUCCGAGUUGUUUGAGUUGGACACCCCAGCUGAGCGCAGUGGUCAUAUAGCAGUGAUUGACAGAAACAUCAUGUAUGUUUGGGGUGGAUAUAAGAAUGCGCAAAACCAUGGAUUCUUUGACUUGUAUCUGCCGAGAAAUGAGAUCUGGAUGUACAACAUGGAGUCUGCAGUAUGGACGAAGCAUGUGGCGGGAGGCAACCUGCACACCUCCAUGUCCGGCAGCUGUGGGCUGUGUGUUGAUGGAGUUCUCUACUUAUUUGGAGGUCAUCACGCCAGAGGAAACACUAACCGGAUCUAUCGUCUGCCCCUUCGAGCUACCGGCCUUGUUUGGGAGGAAAUGAAGGAUCUGAAAGGACUUCCUCCAUCCUGCAAGGAUAAGCUUGGGUGCUGGGUUCAGAAAAACAGACUGAUAUUCUUUGGAGGCUAUGGCUAUACUGCACAAGGAACUCAUCAAGGGACCUUUGAAUAUGAUGAGUCGUCUUCACUUGUGUGGGACAACCCAGGACGAGGCUGGAACAACCACAUCCACGUCCUGGACCUGGAGACCUCCACCUGGAGCCAGCCCACCACCAGGGGGAACACCCCGUCACCCAGAGCAGCUCAUGCUUGCGCCACCGUUGGGAACAGAGGCUACGUGUUUGGGGGACGGUACAAGAACUACAGACUAAAUGACUUGUACUACAUUGACCUCGACACAUGGGAGUGGCAUGAAAUGAGCGUUCCCCAGCAGGGUCCUGCGGGCCGGUCUUGGCACUCCUUCACUCCUGUGUCACCAGACCACAUCUUCUUAUUUGGAGGUUUCACCACAGACAGAGACACACUCAGUGACGCUUGGCUGUACUAUGUCAGCAAAAAUGAAUGGAAGCCUUUUAAACACAGUCAUCCAGAGAGCCCGAGACUGUGGCACACGGCGUGCUCUGGUCCUGAUGGAGAGGUGUUUGUGUUUGGAGGCUGUGCCAACAACCUGUUGUCUCAUCACAGAGCUGCUCACAGCAACGAGUUACUGGUUUUCAACGUUCAGCCCAAAUCACUAGUUCGUUUCUGUAUGGAAGCCGUCUCGCAGCACAGGGAGCGGUUGUCCAGUUACUGGGACUGCUUGCCUAAACACCUGCUGCACAGCCUCAAGCAGAGGAUGGCCCGGGGCAACACCCUGGGCUCCUAGGCGCAGAGGACCAGAGGAGUCGAGGAGAAUGUGGAUGUAUGGAUGAUGUGGCUUUUACUCUCACAGCAGGUAGUCCUGUUGAAGCAUUAGUUUAAUGUGUGUGGACCCCUAAAAAGCAAUCGUGAACCGCUGUGGGAAACGGGUCCUGGCCGGCUCUCUGCAGUUCAGUCGAUCCUCAAAGCGGUUUCUUUUUCUUUUUAUUAACUUACGGGUGUCAAACUCUUGCAAAGCAAGUAUAACCUUUCAUGGAGUGGCACUGAGUUGGUUUAUGUUCUGAUUUCCUUGCUAAAAUACUUUUUUAGCAGGACUUCUUUCAUUACUCCCAAAAAGUUUAAAUGCAUGUUUUUUACUUCUGGUUCUAAGAUAAGUGGAUUGCUACUUCUGUACUGGAGACAGAAACCUGAUUGGAGGAACUGCAGCUACAGGGUGCUUCGGCGUUUAAGGUUUCAGAAAGUCGUUUAAAGGUCCAGCGUGGAGCAUUUAGAGAUCUCUUGACAGGAAUGGAAUAUAAUAUUAAGCAUAUUUAAUUUGGUGUGUAAUCUACUUAAAUGAAUGGUGUCUUUGUUCCCUUAAAACGAACCAUGUAUAUCUAGAUAUGGGUGCUGUUCAUGGAGCGGGCUGCCGUGUUUCUACAGGAGCCCAGAUUGGACAAACCAAACACUGGAUUACCACGGGUCUCCGGCAUGCUCGGCAUUCCUACGGUUCAGUUGGUUGUAAUCUGCAACCUCACCGCUUGAGCCGGACAGAUUCUACACACUGGACCUUUUAAUGCCCUCAACACCAUAUUUCCAUCUUUGUUUCAAACAAGGCAAUAACCAGUGCAGUAGUAUACGGAUGGGAACCUCGCUCUCAUGAUCGGCUUUUCAUGGAGGCCACUGGAGGAAACCCUGAGGACAUGUGGGGAACACGACUUCCCUUCCCAAGUGUGAAGCGCAUCCUGAGAUUAACAAGCUGAAGAAUCUCCGGACCAGGAAGUGAGAAGUGACCACAGCCAAACUAACACAUCUCAAGCGUCAGCCUUUACUUGGACUUGGAAAGACUGUCGACGUUUAUGAUGAUCGUUGUAACUUUUCUUUUCUAAGGUGCAAUAUGUAGAACCUGCCUUCCUCUGUUUGACACCAUUUUACUCUCUUGAAACCGUGUGAAGGAGGGAAACAUGGACCCGGUUCCCGACAGCACGACUUGUUUUAUACUUUAACACGUUUUGACUUGUCAACGUUUGUCUCUCGGCUACAUUCUGGUCUAACUUCUGAAACUAUCUUUAAUAUCACAGCCCUUAUGUACCGGUGUCACAGCGGCACACGGACCAGAGCUCACAUCCGAGCGUUGGCAUAAAGACGAGGCUUCGUUGGAGAGGUUUGGUAUAUUUUGUACAAAUCUAGUACUAUGUAUUAUUUUUGUUAAAUAUUCUCUGAUUGCAUUAUAGCACAACCAAUAUUUUGUUUGACAUACAACAUAAAAUGUAAGAAGAAUCUGGCAUUAUAGCUUUGGAGAUUUAUACAUGACUGUAAAAUGUUUUUUUAAGCAUAUCUUUUUCUGAAUGAGGAGGGACACUCCCAGAGGAACUGUGUAAACCCUGUGGAGCAGACUGGCAUGCUUUUUUUGGAAGUAGCAGUGCUGUUCUAACUCCAGACAUUGUGUCUCUUCAAGUUCAUUACAAAGACAAUGCUUUAACAAGCACCAACUUAUGUGUGUCACAACUUUAAGGCUAAAUAUUAGUCAUUGUGAAAAUAAAUUAUCUUAGUCUUUGGUGGCUCCUAAUGUCAUGAAUGUAUCAUAGGCAGUAUUGGCCGACUUAUUUGGUUUCUCAACUCUCACUUAUACCUUUUUGUCUUUUAUAUUCAGGAAUUAAACUUCUCAGCAAUGCAGAAACAUGAAAGUCUAAUUCCAACUUUGGACAAGGACAAUAAGUUCAUGACUAAUAGCCUAAACAUCCAUUCAUAACCUCUUCACCUACUGUUGUACAAAUGUUUACACUCGAUGUCCACUGUACUUUACCGUGCUGUUCAAAUUAUCGGCGAGUUGGGAUAUUUAAAGUCCUUCAAAACAGAAAAUAACUUGAGAGAAAGGUCUGGUUGAAAGCUGUGGUCAUUCAUUGUGUGUACCUCUUGACUAAUCGGUGUCAGCCUUAAAAAUAAAAACAUGAAAUAUA